UUUUUAUUACAUACUAUAGCCGACGAAAAAUUAGGGUAUUUCGUCGGCUUUAUUAUUAUUUUUUUAUUACAUACUAUAGCCGACGAAAAAUACUAGACGUCGUCGGCUAAAAGAACUUAUAGCCGACGAAAUAUUAGGGUAUUUCGUCGGCUAAACCCAAAACUUUUUCUGUUACAUACUAUAGCCCUAUCUUCGGUGGUUAUUUUGUGUAAAAUUUUUAUACGACUUAUUGUGUCUCAUCGAUUUGAAAAUAUUUUCAGUUGAAGGUCCGGCCAAAAUACGAAAUUUAGACGGUCCAACGACCUUUUCCGUGCACUUAGGGGUUUGACUUACGGGAUUGACCGUCCGGAUCGAGCCCUUAACCUUGUCAGAUCAAGUUGAAUUUUUUCCCAUACAUGUAUUUUAUCAUGAUGGUCAGAUCUGACCGUCGGAUUUCCUUUUCUCAAGUUUGAUCAUCACAAUCACAACAUGCGUACUAAUGUUGUAUAACUUGUUUACCAAGUGUUAAGUAAAUGUUCCGUUUCAAAAACAAAUUAUACGUAGAACCUUCAAACGUAAAAAAGUCGUGAAAUAAGACAUGACCAGAAUGGUGAAAUACGUCUACGGUUGAAAAAUCACGGUAUUCCGGUCAUGUCUCAGUGCCGAUAGUUGCGGUCAAUGCAAUUUUCCAUUCUUUCUCCCUAUGGGUAGCCCUAUAUUCGGUGGUUAUUUUGCGUAAAAUUUUUAUACGACUUAUUGUGUCUCAUCGAUUUGAAAAUAUUUUCAGUUGAAGGUCCGGCCAAAAUACGUAAUUUAGACAGUCCAAUGACCUUUUCCGUGCGUUUAGGGGUUUGACUUAACGGAUUGACCGUCCGGAUCGAGCCCUUAACCUUGUCGGAUCAAGUUGAAUUUUUUCCCAUACAUGUAUUUUAUCAUGAUGGUCAGAUCUGACGGUCGGAUUUUCGUUCUAAAGUUUGAUCAUCACGAGCAGCAGUCACAGUUUGACGAAUGUAUAAAAAGUUAUAAAGCCGACGAAUUUAAAAGGUUAUAGCCGACGAAAUAAUN
RNAcentral lists this long non-coding RNA (1044 nucleotides) under Fragaria vesca (wild strawberry). Its description in RNAcentral is "long non-coding RNA (FVES_LNC004586)". The record is from RNAcentral. Lineage: Eukaryota; Viridiplantae; Streptophyta; Magnoliopsida; Rosales; Rosaceae.